RNAcentral lists this ribosomal RNA (253 nucleotides) under uncultured bacterium. RNAcentral's name for it is "partial 16S ribosomal RNA". It matches the Rfam family "Bacterial small subunit ribosomal RNA", at positions 524 to 776 of the family's 1533-position model. The record is from RNAcentral.
UACGUGGGGGGCUAGCGUUGUCCGGAAUCAUUGGGCGUAAAGAGCGUGUAGGCGGCUCGGUAAGUCCGCUGUGAAAGUCCAGGGCUCAACCCUGGAAUGCCAGUGGAAACUGUCGAGCUAGAGUCCGGAAGAGGCGAGUGGAAUUCCUGGUGUAGCGGUGAAAUGCGCAGAUAUCAGGAGGAACACCAAUGGCGAAGGCAGCUCGCUGGGACGGUACUGACGCUGAGACGCGAAAGCGUGGGGAGCAAACAGG